NNNNNNNNNNNNNNNNNNNNNNNNNNNNNNNNNNNNNNNNNNNNNNNNCCCUCUUGCCCUCCCGCCCCGCCAGCAGCUCUCGCUGCGGCCCGGCGCCCCCCGAGCCUUCGGCCUCGUUGUCCUCCUCCUCGUCCUCCUCCUCGUCCUCCUCGUCCUUGUCCUCAUGGUCUUCAUCCUCCUGGUCCUCGUCCUCGUCCUCCUGGUCCUCGUCCUUGUCCUCCUCGUCCCUGUCUCCUCCUCGUCCUCCUGGUUCUCGUCCUCCUGGUCCUCGUGGUCCUCGUCCUCCUGGUCCUUGUCCUCAUGGUCCUCGUGGUCCUCGUCUCUGUCUCAUCCCUCCUCGUCCUCGUGAUCCUCGUCCUCGUGGUCCUCGUCCCUGUCUCGUCCUUGUCCUCCUCGUCCUUGUCCUCCUGGUCCUCGUCCUCCUCGUCCCUGUCUCGUCCUCCUCCUCCUCCUCCUCCUGUCCUCCUCGUCCUUGUCCUCAUGGUCCUCGUCCCUGUCUCGUCCUCCUCGUCCUCCUGGUCCUCGUCCUCCUGGUCCUCGUCCUCCUCCUCCUCGACCUCCUGGUCCUCAUCCUCCUUGUCCUUAUCCUCCUCAUCCCUGUCUCGUCCUCCUCCUCCUUGUCAUCUUCCUUGUCCUCCUGGUCCUCGUCCUCCUCGUCCCUGUCUUGUCCUCGUCAUCCUCCUUGUCCUUAUCCUCCUCAUCCCUGUCUCGUCCUCCUCCUCCUUGUCCCCCUCGUCCUACUGGUCCUCAUCCUCCUUGUCCCUGUCUCAUCUUCGUGGUCCUCGUCCUCGUCCUCCUCGUGGUCCUCUUCAUCCCUGUCUCAUCCUCCUCGUCCUCCUCAUCUUCCUCGUCCUCCUGGUCCUCGUCCUCCUCAUCCCUGCCUUGUCCUCCUCAUCCUCAUUCUCCUCCUCUUCCUCGUCCUCUUGGUCCUGGUCCUCGUCCUCCUGGUCCUCGUCCACGUGCUCCUCCUUGUCCUCAUCCCCCUCAUCCCUGUCUCGUCCUUGUGGUCCUCCUGGUCCUCGUCCUUGUCCUCGUCCUCCUCAUCCUCCUGGUCCUUGUCCUUGUCCUCCUUGUCCCUGUCUAGUCCUCCUUGUCCUUGUCUCGUCCUCCUUGUCCCUUUGUCCUCACUCCUUCGUCCUCCUCAUCAUCUUCAUCCUCGUCCUCAUCCUCCUCGUGCUUGUUCUCACCCUCAUCCUCCUCGUCCUGCUCAUCCUCGUCCUCACCCCCGUCCUGGCCCCGUCCCCGCAGGGCGACGGGCUGGAGCUGGAGUACGAGAUGGUGCUCACCAAUCCUCCUCAUCAUCUUCAUCCUCGUCCUCAUCCUCCUCGUGCUUGUUCUCACCCUCAUCCUCCUCGUCCUGCUCAUCCUCGUCCUCACCCCCGUCCUGGCCCCGUCCCCGCAGGGCGACGGGCUGGAGCUGGAGUACGAGAUGGUGCUCACCAACGGGAAAUCCUUCUGGACCCGGCACUUCUCUGCUGACGAGUUCG
Molecule: long non-coding RNA, 1487 nt
Filed under: Struthio camelus australis
Lineage: Eukaryota; Metazoa; Chordata; Aves; Struthioniformes; Struthionidae
Description: lncRNA (ENSSCUG00000005548.1)
Source: RNAcentral